AAAAUAUCCAAAACUAAAAUCUUUUCUCCCACUGAAACGCUAUUCCUACGCCUUCCACACAUCCCUGAAAAAAGCAAAAAAGCAAAAAAGCAUGGAGGAGGUACUUAUACCUGUUGGCCAACGACUCUUUUAUCUACAGGUGUCUCUUGCUUCCCUCUUCAAAAACAAGAACAAGAAGCCUGCAAACCUCAAAGCCUUGUGCCCUAGCUUCUUUGUGGUUUACUAAGAAGAACAAGAGGCGGUUGUCCUUUGAUUGUCCUUGCUCGUCAAUUGAUUGUCUUAGCCGUGCCCAAACCUCUCAAUUCAGUCUGCAAAAGAGAAGUCAGAUGGAUAGUUGCCGGCUUUGGCUCGGGACAGCCCCCUUAGUGCUGCGAAAUGCAUCAAUAGAGAUAGUGAUUUAAUAAAAUGUACCAUAGAUGCAGUUCCCCAAGGAAAAGUAGAGAUAUGGAAUAAUGAAAUGCAAAACUCUUUUAGUUUUAUCUAUAAUUAUAAUAGAUUAGGGUUUGGUGAUGUGUAAAAAAGCAUUUUGUCUCUGUAAUCUUAUAAUCUUUCAAUUUUGUCCCUGUAGUCUUGUAACAUUCCAUUUUAAUCUUUCAUUUAUAAUGUAGUAUAUCAUUGACCUAA
Molecule: long non-coding RNA, 624 nt
Organism: Populus trichocarpa (black cottonwood)
Lineage: Eukaryota; Viridiplantae; Streptophyta; Magnoliopsida; Malpighiales; Salicaceae
Exons: 2
Source: RefSeq, a predicted model, not a curated record